CAACAGCACUGCUCUGCCACCUUCAGUGCCAGAGUCCCAGCCUCUCGUCUCUGGCCCUCCUAGGCACCAUGUGUCAGAAAUGGAACUCAGGACCUUGUGCUCUCCAGACAGGGGCAGCGGCACUGAGCUACAUCCCUGGCCCCGAAAGUGAGCCUCUUUCACUGAGAAAGUAACGAGUCGAGCCGCAGCCAGCGGGGGACGGGGAGGUCUGUGGCGCGGCGAAGUUGCUUCAGGGAGACUGAUCGCUUUUUAAAACAGAGAAAGUCUUCCGGCUCCGCCUACACGGUCAGAGUGGGCUCUGCUUCCCUGUCGCUGUCCCCAACCCCUCAGCUGGCUCGCCUGGCUGUGCCCCUCAGCCUGCACCAGCCACCGGGUCUACACAGCCAGAGGAGGAGAGCAGCCCGGGGGCCUGGAGACUCCCUGGGGACCAGCCAGGGUUGCCUUGUGACUACUUUUCAAGGACCUGCGUCAACCACAGCUGAUGGUUUCCCCUUCCCAUAGAAACACAGAGAUACAAAAUGGAAAUAAACUGCUGUCCCGCCCUCUCUCGGUGAUUUGAAUCCCUUGCUGAGCUGGGCCUUUUUGCUGCGCCCCAUACCCGGUGGUCUGUCUGGGAAUCCGACGCAGUGCUCACUUCCUGACGAUGCCCCACUUUGUGGGUCCCACGGCCUUGGACCCAGGGAAGCUCCGGCACAAGUCACCUCCUGACCUUCUGCCUCUAAGUCUCUGCACACGCUGCCCCCGGCCAGGGCACCCAGUGGCCACCUUGGCCACUUACUGAUUACACAGGUGUAGACCCUGUUUUAAAGCAAAAGAAAAAUAAGUAAACAAAAGAAAGAGGCAAGAAAGAAGAAAAAAUACAACCACCCACUCCCGUCACCUAGAGGAAGCAUUGUCAAACACCUUUGUUCUUUCAAAGCAGGGCACGUGUUCCUUUUCCUGUACGAGAACUUUCAGGCAAUACGCAGUUGUGUAACUUGUUUUCUUGCCCUUGCAAUAAAAAAUCAGGAGCCUCUUUGUACAUUAACAAGUGUUUCCCUACGUUGUUUUAACUGUGACACAUUUCCAAUAGCUAUGUAUAUAAAACAUGUGCAUACUUUAAGACUGUAACAACAAGGUUCACUGGGGGUGCUCUACUCUGGCUACCGGGUAGCCCCAGGGGUGGUCUAAGAAGCCCCUGCAGUGUCUCCACCCUCAAAGGCCAUC
Molecule: long non-coding RNA, 1206 nt
Organism: Fukomys damarensis (Damara mole-rat)
Lineage: Eukaryota; Metazoa; Chordata; Mammalia; Rodentia; Bathyergidae
Exons: 5
Source: RefSeq, a predicted model, not a curated record